RNAcentral lists this ribosomal RNA (305 nucleotides) under uncultured bacterium. RNAcentral describes it as "bacterial SSU rRNA". It matches the Rfam family "Bacterial small subunit ribosomal RNA", at positions 335 to 656 of the family's 1533-position model. The record is from RNAcentral.
CCUACCUACGGGAGGCAGCAGUGGGGGAUAUUGCACAAUGGGGGAAACCCUGAUUCAGCGACGCCGCGUGGGUGAAGAAGCGCCUCGGCGCGUAAAGCCCUGUCAGCAGGGAAGAAAAUGACGGUACCUGAAGAAGAAGCCCCGGCUAACUACGUGCCAGCAGCCGCGGUAAUACGUAGGGGGCAAGCGUUAUCCGGAUUUACUGGGUGUAAAGGGGGCGCAGACGGCGAUGCAAGCCAGGAGUGAGAGCCCGGGGCCCAACCCCGGGACUGCUCUUGGAACUGCGUGGCUAGAGUGCAGGGGGG